CCCUUAGAUGUUCUGGGCCGCACGCGCGCUACACUGAUUCAUGCAACAAGUUUUGUCCUUGGCUGAUAGGCCUGGGUAAUCUUUGAACGUGAAUCGUGAUGGGGAUAGAUGAUUGCAAUUAUUCAUCUUCAACGAGGAAUUCCUAGUAAACGCAAGUCAUCAGCUUGCAUUGAUUACGUCCCUGCCCUUUGUACACACCGCCCGUCGCACCUACCGAUUGAAUGGUCCGGUGAAAUCUUCGGAUCUGAGAGAUGUCUGAUUAAUUUCGGACGCCUUUUGGAAAAGUUGUUUAAACCUUACCAUUUAGAGGAAGGUGAAGUCGUAACG
RNAcentral lists this ribosomal RNA (327 nucleotides) under uncultured eukaryote. Its description in RNAcentral is "partial 18S ribosomal RNA". It matches the Rfam family "Eukaryotic small subunit ribosomal RNA", at positions 1470 to 1796 of the family's 1831-position model. The record is from RNAcentral.